AAAAAAACUUGUGCGGACACAGAAAAACUUGUUCGAGUUACGUGAUACAAUAAUAUUAUUAUUAACGUGAAGCCAAUACAAAUUAUAGGUACGUAAAAAUAGAUCAUAUAUAAUAUAAUAUUAUAUCUUUGUCAUAAAAUCACAUUUUCGAACCGCGCCGCUAUUUAAAAUAAUAUCAGUGGAGAAAAGGUUAUUAUAGUACAUAAUAUAAUAAUAUUCUACUAAUCAUGUUUGUACUAUUCCAAAAAAUACAUUAUCAUUCAUUUCAAUUAUUAUACUACUAUU
This is a non-coding RNA of Cinara cedri, 285 nucleotides long. The record is from the annotation of a GenBank genome assembly. Lineage: Eukaryota; Metazoa; Arthropoda; Insecta; Hemiptera; Aphididae.